GGAACGUUGUGGAUAUAGACUAAAAAUGAGUGAAAGGAAAUUGGGUUCUGUGUGCUCAAAGAGUAAGCUCCAAUAUUACAAAUCGGACCAGAUAUUUGAUGCAAAUCUAUGGUACUUCGGCCAGUUAUCCAAACUCGCUGCUAUAGACGCGUUUCAGUCGCCGACUGUGACCUGUGACCCUCCAUCUGUUCUUCACGUGUUUGUGUCCACCUCCCUCUGACCUCAGCCCGUCUGCAGUGUACUGCUUAGAGCGGUGAAUUCCAUUGUCAUUUAAACUGUCAUCUGAUACCUCCAUUGUGCAAUAGAUAAUGUUUAUUUUUUAUUGUUGUUUUGUGUAUCCUGUGAAACCAGUCGGAUGUUUUUUUGAUAUGUUAUGUAGCGUAUGUUUUUAAUAUAAUUAUUUAUGCACCAGCAACCACCCACUCCUCUGUCCCGACUUUGUAGAGGAAGUUCAUGCUUUGCUUGCAUUCCGACAGAAUCUACUGACCUUUUAUCCCAAAAUGGUCCCAAUUUUUGGUCUAUUUUGAGGGAACGCAAAUGGUACGUUCAUUACUCAAUACGUUUUAAUGAUCAGCAAUGUUAGCAGUUAAAACAUUAACUAUGUUAAUAGGAUGACAGCUGACAAACAUUGUAAAAAGAAUUUACAACUUCUUUCUCAAUUUUCAUAUGCAUUUCAUUUCUCUGUCAAAAUGGUGGAUGUUUCAUUUUGGCAUAAAGCCUUUGUCUCAAUGGCAUACUGAUGCUUAAUAGUAAGCAGCCCAAACUUGAUUCUGGACUUUUCAUUCUCCAUUCACUUUCUCCUUUUCUUCUGUGAAGCUUCUUGGAUUCUGCCUUCAACUGCCCUUCCUCCCACGUAGGCAAAAUACUCUGAGCUGUCUUUAUUAAGAUGCAUACGAUGUGUAUACAGUCUGUAUAGUAACAUGUCUGUCAUAUUUGUCCUAUAAAAAGUGAAGAUGAAGAAGAAAAAGUAAACUUGAUUAGGAACCAUUUGGAGGAUUGCUUACAGUUACACUAAUCGCUGAGAGAACAGUGAUCCUCUCCACAUGGUCUGUACUGUUUACUACAAUAAACAUGUCAGUUGAAUGAGAA
Long non-coding RNA from Sander lucioperca (pikeperch), 1089 nucleotides. RefSeq lists it as uncharacterized. The record is from RefSeq and is a predicted model, not a curated record. Lineage: Eukaryota; Metazoa; Chordata; Actinopteri; Perciformes; Percidae. The transcript is spliced from 2 exons.